UAUACAUGCGCUGUUCAAAGCGAGGAUUAGAAGGGACUGAAUCAUCUAUUAGAAAUGAUGGUUCAGUUUCUUCUAAUAUCUCACCUUGAAUGGUCCAUCUGUGAAGC
Non-coding RNA from Brachypodium distachyon (stiff brome), 107 nucleotides. The record is from RefSeq and is marked provisional. Lineage: Eukaryota; Viridiplantae; Streptophyta; Magnoliopsida; Poales; Poaceae.